AAAAAUAAUUAUUUAGAAAAAGGGCAUUGCAAAAAUGUUAUAAGUUUUUUUUUAAUUAUAAAACUGUAAUUAAACUCAAAGAAUAUGGAAAAUAGUAUAUUUAAAUUUGAGAAGAAUGACACAUGUCGAAUGAAUAGAGCGCCACUUGUCAGAUUUUUAGAGUACAAGUUUGAGGAACCUUACUAUUUAGAAAAAGGGCAUUACAAAAAUGUUAUAAGU
This 219-nucleotide small RNA is filed under the name Arabidopsis thaliana (thale cress). RNAcentral's name for it is "ATSL056130". Lineage: Eukaryota; Viridiplantae; Streptophyta; Magnoliopsida; Brassicales; Brassicaceae. The record is from RNAcentral.